RNAcentral lists this ribosomal RNA (540 nucleotides) under Myxococcales bacterium. RNAcentral's name for it is "bacterial SSU rRNA". It matches the Rfam family "Bacterial small subunit ribosomal RNA", at positions 1 to 518 of the family's 1533-position model. The record is from RNAcentral. Lineage: Bacteria; Pseudomonadati; Myxococcota; Myxococcia; Myxococcales.
GAACUGGAGAGUUUGAUCCUGGCUCAGAACGAACGCUGGCGGCGUGCUUAAGACAUGCAAGUCGAACGAGAAAGUCACUUCGGUGAUGAGUACAGUGGCGCACGGGUGAGUAACACGUGGGUAAUCUGCCCUCAGGUCUGGAAUAACUCCGGGAAACUGGUGCUAAUACCGGAUGAGACCACGACGUCUCCGGACGACGUGGAAAAAGAUGGCCUCUCCUUGGAAGCUAUCGCCUGGGGAUGAGCCCGCGUCCCAUUAGCUAGUUGGUGGGGUAAUGGCCUACCAAGGCUCCGAUGGGUAGCUGGUCUGAGAGGAUGAUCAGCCACACUGGGACUGAGACACGGCCCAGACUCCUACGGGAGGCAGCAGUCGGGAAUUUUGUCCAAUGGGCGCAAGCCUGAGACAGCAACGCCGCGUGAGGGAUGAAGGCCUUCGGGUCGUAAACCUCUGUCAGGAGGGAAGAAAGCUCCAUUGCGAAUAGCUUUGGAGUCUGACGGUACCUCCAAAGGAAGCGCCGGCUAACUCCGUGCCAGCAGCCGC